RNAcentral lists this long non-coding RNA (245 nucleotides) under Gallus gallus (chicken). Lineage: Eukaryota; Metazoa; Chordata; Aves; Galliformes; Phasianidae. The record is from RNAcentral.
GUGGUGGCACCUCUAGGGCUGGUAUUGCCCAUGGGGACGAUGGAGGUGGCACCUCUGGAGGUUGUGGUGGCACCUCUGGGGCUGACAUCGCCCAUGGGGACAAUGGAGGUGGCACCUCUAAGGGUUGUGAUGGCACCUCUAGGGCUGAUAUCACCCAUGGGGACGAUGGAGGUGGCACUCCAUGGUGCCACCACAAGCUGACCCGGUGUCCCCUGCCCUUCUGUCCCCACGUGUCCCACCCCCCC